Long non-coding RNA from Cygnus olor (mute swan), 713 nucleotides. RefSeq lists it as uncharacterized. The record is from RefSeq and is a predicted model, not a curated record. Lineage: Eukaryota; Metazoa; Chordata; Aves; Anseriformes; Anatidae. The transcript has 3 exons.
CUUGCACUCUGCGCUUGGGAGCCUGAUCCUCCGCUGCUGCCUGCCAGCGCUGCCAGGGGCUGAGCCUGGCUCUGGGGGACAAAACCAAGCGGGGCAGAGGGGGCUCAGCAUCGCCUCGGUGCCUUGGGGGCUUGCUGGGGUCUACAGGGCGCUGGGGGUGUGGAUUUAAGUGCAGAUCCCUGGGGUUGUGCUGGGAUGUACAGGCUGAACGCGCUGAGACCCAUCCCUGUCCCAUCCAUCGCCACCACUCUCAUCUCUGAGCAUCACCUGGGUGUUUCAAAACAGAAAUAACCAUGAUGAUCCUCCUUCCUGAUCUGGAGAAGAAGAGAGCUCAGUUAAUCUCCAGGGGGAAAUGCCGAAGGUGGGAGCUUCAGCGUGGAAGCAGGAGCCUUUUGCUCCAUCAGCGGGAGCAGCAGCCCCCGCAGAGAGGACAAAGGCCUGCGUUGUUUCCUGCCCCGAUUCGGAGAGGUGCCUCCCUCGCCGCGCUGCACAUGCCGCGGAGCCGUGCCUGGGUGCCAGGAGGAGUUUCCAGCCGGCUCCAUCAGCAUCUCCAGGCACCGCCUGGCAAGGACAUCGUCCCCCCGGGGAUGGGGGCUCAAGGGGAUGCCCAGGGGUCACCGAGGAAUGGUCCCCCCACCCGCCACAGCAUAAUCGGUUCCCUAUUAAUCUGGCAUUUUAUUAUUAUUAUUAUUGUUAUUAUUAUUAAACAUCUC